This 503-nucleotide ribosomal RNA is filed under the name Luciola filiformis yayeyamana. Its description in RNAcentral is "partial 16S rRNA". The record is from RNAcentral. Lineage: Eukaryota; Metazoa; Arthropoda; Insecta; Coleoptera; Lampyridae.
GUCUUUUUGAUUAUAAUUUAAGGUUUAAUCUGCUCAGUGAAUAUUUAAAUUGCCGCAGUAUUUUGACUGUGCAAAGGUAGCAUAAUAAUUAGUUUUUUUAUUGGAAGCUGGAAUGAAUGAUUGGACAAGAGAAUUACUGACACUUUAUUAUUUUUGUUUAAUUUUACUUUUAAGUUAAAAGGCUUAGAUAUAAUUAAAAGACGAGAAGACCCUACAGAGUUUAAUUUAUAUUAUUUGAAUUUUUAUUGGAAUUUAAAAGAUUUAUUUGUAUAUAAAUUUAGUUGGGGUGACUAAAAGAUUUAUUUAACUCUUUAAAUUAAAAUCAGUUAUUUUUGAAUAUAAAAUUUAUAUUUUUAAAUUUAAAAUUAAUUACCUUAGGGAUAACAGCGUAAUUUUUUUUAAAAGUUCAUAUUAAAAUAAAAGAUUGCGACCUCGAUGUUGGAUUAAAAUUUAUUUUAGGUGUAGAAGCUUAAAUAUUGAGUCUGUUCGACUUUUAAAAUUUU